Molecule: non-coding RNA, 866 nt
Organism: Paramuricea clavata
Lineage: Eukaryota; Metazoa; Cnidaria; Anthozoa; Malacalcyonacea; Plexauridae
Source: the annotation of a GenBank genome assembly
GCACUCGUGUACUGAAUAAGCCCAUCAAAAAUUGCUUACAAAAAAAUAUAAGCCAAGGGCUUAUAGUCAGAGGUUUAUGGUAUUCUUGACUUGCAACCAACCCUUGAGAGUUAGAAGACACUUAAGAGCUGCCAUUUUGGUGCCAAAUUCAGUGAAAGAUAAUGAGAACCUUUUGAAAAAAUGGCACCAACAUGACUGUUCAGCCCACAUAGCUACAAGUCAAGAAUAGCACUCUCCUUCUUUUACAGUACAUUUUUCUGGCUGGCAGUGGCUUAUAUAGCUUUAGCCAUAGCUUUGUUAUUAGCCUGCCUCGCACACAUCCUUAUGGCUCUGAGCCAUUUAAGGAUGUCUGCGAUGCAGGCUACUUUGUUAUCUGUGAUAGUCUAUGUUCAACCAUAAUGUUAAUAAGAGGAAUAUAGACUUUUGUAUGAAUUUGUAUGACAAGCAAAAACAUAGCCAUUAGACACAGAGAUGAAUUUACUGGGGGGAGUGGGGGUGCAUUCCCCUAGCCCUGGCCAGAGGGGCUGCAGGGGGAGGGUGCUAUUUUUCAUGAUAAAGGGAAAAAUUAUUAGAGACUAAAUGAGCCGGAUACAGUAAUUUGAGUAAUAACAUGAUGAUAAGCGAACUGUGCGCAACAAUUCAAAUACAGUAGUCAAGCAAGACUUUGCAGUAGUGAAGCAAGUUGAUGGGCUGGCGGCACACAUGACCGACACAACUCAAUUGUAAUGACUUUAUUAAUUGUAAUGACUUUAUUAGCAUGAUCUAUAAUUACAAGAUAUUGCUAAAGUACUGUAGUUCCAUCAAUAUAACUAUUAACGUUCAUAACUAACUAAUAAUAACAUAUUUUUUAACUUUAUAUUAUUUAC